Molecule: long non-coding RNA, 3681 nt
Filed under: Oncorhynchus kisutch (coho salmon)
Lineage: Eukaryota; Metazoa; Chordata; Actinopteri; Salmoniformes; Salmonidae
Description: lncRNA (ENSOKIG00005019574.1)
Source: RNAcentral
AUGCCCACAGAGAAUAGCCACCUCCAGACUGUGGCUGUAAGUGCAUCCCCAGGGACAGAUUUGUUCCAUACGCCACAUGAAAGGCACAAUUUCACGAACGCCACAACUGCUGAAGAUGCAAUUGCUACUUCAUCAACUGGAGUCUUUGUUUGGAAAGAGGGCUCCGAUUUACCUAUGCCAGCUGAGGCCACUGAAGCAAAUCUCACAUUGAUCUCUAAUUAUGAAGCUGGAUUUGAAUCGAUGAAGAAUGGCACCGUGAUGCCUGUGGUUCAUUUGUCCAAAGGCGUGGAGGAAGAGAAAGAGAAAGCCUCAGAAUUGCCGCUUCACUCUCUACUUGUUAACAGGAAUCAAAGAAUCGCUGAGUCUAUCACUCUUAUGUCCACACGACGGAGGCUGGGAGUACCUAUGGUGACUGCCACUCGUCCUCACAUAAUUGAUAACUGGGCCAAGUCAAAUGACAAUGAGGAAAAACGAGGCCAAGACGCAGAUGAAAAUGGGAUUUUGGAAUUGAGUGAGUCAGAAUCCAUCUUGCAUGACAGAAAGGAAGUUUCUUUGACUACGGAGCGCGUGAUGACAAACAUGUGUUUGAAUUGCCUGCAAGAAAAAAGGCCAUCGUCAACAGAAGAAAUGGCUGUUCUGUCUGCGUUGUUCGACCGAGGCAGCUCACUCAGUCUUGGAGGAAAUGGAAAUAUGCUUACUGUAAACUCCAGUCACCACAAGGCCUCAAUGCCGAGCUCAUUUGAAGCGACAACAAAGAAACAAGAGGACAGAACAGUAUUAUUUGAUGGUGCCAAAACAUCCAAAAAGAGCACAUUUGAUUUCUCUGUAAAUCUUUUGGAUGGGCUAGAUUAUGAGUUCAUACCACCCCUUUCCUCAUUAAACUCUGAAAUGAAUCUCAGUAAAACCAUGUUGAAUGAUUCAUUUGCUAGUACAUCUUUCUCAAACUCGGGAACGAUUGAAGUCAAGGCAAACACAACCAGAACAGUGUUUCUUACUUCAAAGGUGGAAAAUAUGACAGUUUCCAGAUUGAGUGAUAUUAGCAAAUCUUUUGAUAAAAGGUUGUUAUCAACAACCAGCAUGCCUUAUCCUUUAACUUCAGAGAUCUUUCACACUUUAUUAUUAUCAUUGAGAGAUAAAGAAGAAAAUAUAUCUGGGAAGACUGUGAAUCUCAGAAACCAGUCAAAAUUGGUUUCUCAAAUCCAAGAUAAUUCAUCUGUAAAACUACAAAACAUAUCCUCCGGUUUACGACAUAGUUUUCUUGGCAAUCACACAUUGGCGGGUGUUGACAUUACAAAUAAGGACACAGAGUUUAGUUUAGAAGAUGGGGGAAGGGAAGAGCGGGAGCAUGCUGUUGGGCAAGUUAUGACAAUUCCUCUCACCAAUGCUCCAUCUCCUUCUGUCCAUGUUCUCUCUGACCAGAACAUUGAAAACAGUGGGGUUAAUGACCCCAUCAGUGGGGCUAAUGACCCCAACAAUGGAUCAAUGAUAAGUGGUAUGCUAGACUCGUUUAAUUCUCUCUUUAGUCAAGCUCGUGAAAUAAUCACAGCAAAAAGCCACACCACUGACCACAUUGACGUUUCAGCCUUGCCUAUGAGAAUGCCAUCAAUCGAAAGCCAAAGUGCAACAACAUCCUUCCGCUCUACGAGGCAGACCACGGCAGCUGUCAAAGUUCCUCCUGCCUCUCAGGCUCUGACAGGGAGUGCGAAAUCUUUGAUGUCUGUGUUGAGUACCACUGGCUACCUGCCAGCACAGCCCAGUGUUCUGUUCAAAGAGCAGCAGCCUAUGAGCCUCCUGCCAGACGUCCCUAACAUGCAACGUGCAUCUGUAACUAUGAUGAGAACAUUGUCCAAAAAGCCGUUUGCCGACAAUGCAAACGGUAUUGAUAAACGGACUGCGCCUCCAGUUGUUUUGUCACAGACAGUGAAGCCAAGUGCUAAAGUAAAUGCUCAGUUGCCCAGAACAACAGAGAAAGGACUUACGUUUUCCACAAAGCGUAUUUCUGAAACCACAAGUAAGUUAGACAUUUAUGUGUCCACCAUGAUGACGACAAGAACACACGUCGAUGUGAAAAGGUCAACCGAGCAAAGACUUGCCGUAGGUCGCGGUGACAUCAAGUCGAGUGGUGACACCUUUCGAAUCUCUGCCGACAGUGCUGGGAACCUUGAACCACCUAAAGAAUUGAAAAAUGUGAACAUACUAAAGCUGAAAAACAACAGAGGACAGGAGUCUGACUUCUCUCAGCCUCAAGGUUCUCUUGAGGAGGUGACAGAAAUGACAAUGGACAAGAGCAGUACUGUUCACCAUGGGAUAAUGAAAACCACAGAAAGGCUGGCUCGAGAGGAAAAACGCACCUCUCCAAACUUGUCUCCCUCCCAUCUUUUAAUGAAACUGUUGGGAGCAACGGCAAGAGACAUUCAUCGGGCUGAAAAUCUCUCUGAAUCGCUGGAAGACGAAAAUAAGUCAUUCUCUAGCCAAGCGCCAAGUCAUAAAAUGCCAGUGCAGACUGUGAUAACCCCAAGCCAGACACUAUCACGAAUGGUAUCUUUUAAUAAGAAACCACAUAUUGUGUCUAAACCACAGCAAUUCUCUACCCAUAGGGUCACGCUUACAAAAUAUGCCGAUGCGUCAACAAACCAUAAGCAAAGCAAUCAGCAAAGGCACUCAACAAAAGGUAAAAAACAAGUGUUUUUGACGACUUCCUCGCGGAGCACAGGCCCUCCAAAUCAAAUCAGAAAUGUGAAUGUAACAUUUGACGUCUCUCCAGAGAGUGUGAAAUCAACAUUUUCUACACCUGACAGUGUUGGAAAUCUGUUUUCACUUACCGCUGCAAAAUCAUUAAUCCCAGUUGGGCAGUCAACUAUUCAGCCUAAUAUUGCAGUAAAGACAUCUACUUCCCACACAUCAGUAAUUCAACAUGUUUCAGCUCAAAAGCAUCACAUAAGCAUUUCGACAUCAACAACAUCAGGAAACUCAGUCUCUCAGUCCAUAACUGUUGGAAAACAUCUACAGCGUGUAGGACCGGCGACACCUCUCUUUGACAUUGUUAAAGAGGACGUCAUGACCUCUGACAUCACUGAAGCAUUAAAGGGGAGCCACCUUGUUCCCCUCUUACCGCCUCGUCCGUAUAAUGACACAUCGACUAGUCCACCCACCGACAAUUACUCGCCCACAGGGCCACUUACCGCCAGCCUGGCUUUGCAUCAUCGCCAAGGGCAAUCUUCUUCUGAGAUAAUGCCUUUCGGCGCUCCAUCUCAAAGCCAAUGGGACUCGUUUACAGAUUCGGAGGAGAAAGAGGAACGGCAUUCAAAUGCCUCACAUGCUUCUGCCGAUAACGAGCAAAUAAGCCCUUCAGAGGCUCCAAUAGUGCAUGAAGUGAAAAGUGAGCAUUCUGGGUUUAGCACAUGGACGGCGCCGUUCGCUACCGAUAGUUCUGCCACCAGCCACAUUAACUUAACUCAAUCACGACCUGAUGAGACCAUGGGAUUGAGGGCCAAGGAACCCGCCCUGCCACGUGCACUACUGCACCAGACCACUAAUGGGGUUGGGAAUGACCAUGCUUUGUCUGGAGUAAGUCCAGCGCAUGAGUCUGGUAGAAAGCUCCUGGGUUCUGGGAGUGGGUCAGAUCCAUUGGCCUUGCACCAGAGAAUUGGGUUAUCAUCCCCUGAUCUCCUCACUGGGUAA